Molecule: long non-coding RNA, 2385 nt
Organism: Drosophila virilis
Lineage: Eukaryota; Metazoa; Arthropoda; Insecta; Diptera; Drosophilidae
Source: RefSeq, a predicted model, not a curated record
UUGAUUUGUAUAUAAAAACAAAAAAAAACCAAAAAAAAAAAAGCAACAACAGAAGAAGUUAUGUUAAAUUAAAAGGCUUGUCAGCAAGGAGCUACCCAAAACGGAGCAGACGACAAACAUUGGCUGCGACACACACACACACACACACACACACGCGCGCAAAACAAACAUACAGACAGACACUAAUACAUACACAUACAUACAUACGUAUGUACAUAUGAAACUUGGGCGACCGCAUUCCAGAAAGUUCAAAUAACGAUUUGGUUGGGACACAGCACUGCGGUGGGGAGAGCUGAAUUGGCCCACAGCAUAAACAGCGUGGAAAAAUUAAAGUUAAAGAAUUCUGCCCGUGCAUGUGUGUAUGUGAGUGUGAGUGUGAGUGUGCGUGUGCCUGCUUGCAUGUGUGUGUGGCUUGAGCUUGGCGUGCCUGUAUUGGUGGUUGUAGCAUGGAAUGCGGUCUCGUUCAACUAUGAGAAGAACUAAGCCAAAUAGAACUUGCGCUUCAAAAAAACUGGUUUCUGUUGGCCAAGACUGUGUGUCGUCGUGUUGCGUGUGCUGCUGCUGCAUGGGACAUCCAUUGACAUCUAAGGAGCUCUUUGAUUCUAAACUUCAAGUCAAGCCACAUGGGUAAGCGAGUAAGCCGUGUGGAAUUUGCCAGCAGUCAAUGCGCUCACACACACACACACACACACACACACACAUUUGUAUGUAUGUACAGCGGCUGCUGCGCUGUCAGUUACAAGUCACAAGCUCGGCUUCGUCUUUGGAGACGAAGUAAAAUAUUUAUUGGCUGAAAUUGGAUGCUGCGCGUCGUCGUCUUCGUACGUGUGUGUGUGUGUGUGUGUGUGUAGCGUCUAUUUAGAAAUUGAAAUUGAAAUUUGUCAAGCAUGAGUCAUACACGACGCGAGCGUAGGUCUGAGCCAGACUUUGGCAUUAUGUGACUGCAAUUUCGGCUUCAGUACAGUAUAAAUUACCUAAAAGCAACUGCUAAAAAUCUUCAAAGUUACGAAUAAGGCGAGAAAAAAGUUUCAUAUUUUUUUUUUAAUUGUAAAAGCUGUUGCAACAUAAUUUUCUUAAUUAUGCUCAAUAGAGGUGGCAAUUUGUUGUGCUUGUUGCCCUUAGGCAGUUUUUACUGUAUGCCAGUUAAGUCGCUUGCGCGUUUGAAGCUAUUGCGGCGCUGUGCGGUUAAAGUAUUUUGAUGGUAAUUGCGCACACGAUGCAAUUGCAGCCGAUAAUAAAGGGAGCAGUCGCAGCGGCAGAGCCAAGCGUGCACUGGAGUGGGCACUACCUAUCAUAAUUGCAAUCGCUGGACUCGCCGCUGCGGCUCUGUUGGGUAUCGUGGUCUUCCAACGCCAACUAAAGUUGCAUCACUCAGCAAAAGGCAAAACGAAGAAAAGUCAACCACCAGCAUAGAAUGCGGGCUCGUAACAACAACAACAACAACAACAAGAACGUCAGAGAGAGAGCAACAGGAACAGCACAGCAACAGCAAAAACAACAACAGAACAAACAGGGCAGGCGGCAGUCGGCAGGCAAGCAGAACCAGAAAACCGACGCCAAACCGUUUUACAAGAACAGCAAGACGAAAGAAGCAGAGGGCGAGCGAAAGAAGGCAGCCAAGGAAAAAGCAACGGCGUCUGCUGGCAGACAGGGAUAGACGCCAAAGUCCAAGUGUGCAGUCGCAGCCGAAAAGGGUAAAAAGGGAACGCAAGUGUGCAAUGCGCUCUCUCGCUGUCUCUCGCUCCCCUCUCUCUAUCUCUCUCUCUCUCUCUCACACAGUCGCACACAUGCAGCGGGCUAACGGACAACGGCAAACUGAUCCCGUUUGUAGUUCUUGUUGCUGUUCUUGGACGUAAAAAGCAAUAAUGUCAGCAAAAAAAAAAAUAAAUAAAAUGCCAAAGAACGCCAACGGCGAAACGUUGGCGGUGGUCGGCUGCAACAACAACAACAACAACGACAGCAACAACAACUGUAAUAACAGCAACGAGUUUAAGGAAUGCCGUCGUAAGUUAUCGUCUGGCCUAUCGUUAAGCUAUCGGCGUCGCUAACACUAUCGAUAGUCAAAGCUGCGCGGCCUGGCGAGCUGUGCGGUUGGCAUCUGCUUUGGGAGUUGCGUAGAUAAAAGUUGUGGCCCGUUUUAUUUUAUGCACGACAAUAAAUGUCAAUUAAAAAUUAUAUUUGUAUUAACGGGGCGGCAGUUCCUGACCGCCAGGCCUCAGCCAUAAAAAUGUGCUAUAAAAAAAGUAACGGUGAAUGCUACGGUCUGCUGAAGUUCGUGUGUGGCUCUCAGUUACAACAACAAAAAACAUUUCUCCAUGUGUGUCUGUGUGUGUGUGUGUGUGUUUUUGCUGUCCGCUCAAUAGAAAGUUUUGUGUUAAUAAAAAA